Molecule: ribosomal RNA, 164 nt
Filed under: Cymbidium rubrigemmum
Lineage: Eukaryota; Viridiplantae; Streptophyta; Magnoliopsida; Asparagales; Orchidaceae
Description: 5.8S ribosomal RNA
Rfam family: 5.8S ribosomal RNA
About the family: 5.8S ribosomal RNA (5.8S rRNA) is a component of the large subunit of the eukaryotic ribosome. It is transcribed by RNA polymerase I as part of the 45S precursor that also contains 18S and 28S rRNA. Functionally, it is thought that 5.8S rRNA may be involved in ribosome translocation.
Source: RNAcentral
GGACAUGACUCUCAGCAAUGGAUAUCUUGGCUCUCACAUUGAUGAAGAGCACAACAAAAUGCAAUACAUGGUGCGAAUUAUAGAAUCCUGCGAACCAUUGAGUCUUUGAACGCAAGUUACGCCCGAGGCCAGCCGGCCGAGCGCACGUCCGCCUGGGCGUCAAG